This 517-nucleotide ribosomal RNA is filed under the name uncultured bacterium. RNAcentral's name for it is "bacterial SSU rRNA". It matches the Rfam family "Bacterial small subunit ribosomal RNA", at positions 9 to 524 of the family's 1533-position model. The record is from RNAcentral.
GAGAUUUGAUCCUGGCUCAGGAUGAACGCUGGCCGGCCGUGCUUACACAUGCAGUCGAACGAAGCGCUUAAACUGGAUUUCUUCGGAUUGAAGUUUUUGCUGACUGAGUGGCGGACGGGUGAGUAACGCGUGGGUAACCUGCCUCAUACAGGGGGAUAACAGUUAGAAAUGACUGCUAAUACCNNAUAAGCGCACAGUGCUGCAUGGCACAGUGUAAAAACUCCGGUGGUAUGAGAUGGACCCGCGUCUGAUUAGCUAGUUGGUGGGGUAACGGCCUACCAAGGCGACGAUCAGUAGCCGGCCUGAGAGGGUGAACGGCCACAUUGGGACUGAGACACGGNCCAAACUCCUACGGGAGGCAGCAGUGGGGAAUAUUGCACAAUGGGGGAAACCCUGAUGCAGCGACGCCGCGUGAGCGAAGAAGUAUUUNGGUAUGUAAAGCUCUAUCAGCAGGGAAGAAAAUGACGGUACCUGACUAAGAAGCACCGGCUAAAUACGUGCCAGCAGCCGCGGUAAU